This 545-nucleotide ribosomal RNA is filed under the name Campylobacter concisus. RNAcentral's name for it is "bacterial SSU rRNA". It matches the Rfam family "Bacterial small subunit ribosomal RNA", at positions 598 to 1146 of the family's 1533-position model. Lineage: Bacteria; Pseudomonadati; Campylobacterota; Epsilonproteobacteria; Campylobacterales; Campylobacteraceae. The record is from RNAcentral.
AAUCAUCAUGCCCCUUAUGAUUUGGGCGACACACGUGCUACAAUAACGGAUAGGCAGAUGGAAUUGUUGGUGUACGGGUAAAAUCCGUACAAAUCACCAGGAAUACCCAUUGCGAAGGCGAUCUGCUGGAACUCAACUGACCCUUUGCGUGAAAGCGUGGGGAGCAAACAGGAUUACAUACCCUGGUAGUCCACGCCCUAAACGAUGUAUACUAGUUGUUGCUAAGCUAGUCUUGGCAGUAAUGCACCUAACGGAUUAAGUAUACCGCCUGGGGAGUACGGUCGCAUGAUUAAAACUCAAAGGAAUAGACGGGGACCCGCACAAGCGGUGGAGCAUGUGGUUUAAUUCGAAGAUACGCGAAGAACCUUACCCGGACUUGAUAUCUAACAAAUCAUCUAGAGAUAGAAGAGUGUCUGCUUGCAGAAAUGUUAAGACAGGUGCUGCACGGCUGUCGUCAGCUCGUGUCGUGAGAUGUUGGGUUAAGUCCCGCUACGAGCGCAACCCACGUCAUUAGUUGCUAACAGUUCGGCUGAGCACUCUAAUGA